This 433-nucleotide ribosomal RNA is filed under the name uncultured bacterium. Its description in RNAcentral is "partial 16S ribosomal RNA". It matches the Rfam family "Bacterial small subunit ribosomal RNA", at positions 29 to 507 of the family's 1533-position model. The record is from RNAcentral.
AACGAACGCUGGCGGCAUGCCUAACACAUGCAAGUCGAACGAGACCUUCGGGUCUAGUGGCGCCCGGGUGCGUAACGCGUGGGAACCUGCCCUUAGGUUCGGAAUAACUCCCCGACAGGGGUGCUAAUACCGGAUAAUGUCUUCGGACCAAAGAUUUAUCGCCUUUGGAUGGGCCCGCGUUGGAUUAGCUAGUUGGUAGGGUAAAAGCCUACCAAGGCGACGAUCCAUAGCUGGUCUGAGAGGAUGAUCAGCCACACUGGGACUGAGACACGGCCCAGACUCCUACGGGAGGCAGCAGUGGGGAAUAUUGGACAAUGGGCGAAAGCAUGAUCCAGCAAUGCCGCGUGAGUGAUGAAGGCCUUAGGGUUGUAAAGCUCUUUUACCCGGGAUGAUAAUGACAGUACCGGGAGAAUAAGCUCCGGCUAACUCCGUG